UAUUAAUAUAAUUAUAUCUUACAGUAAAUUAUGUCAUUCUAAUUCGAUCUGUAGAUGAAUGUGGGAGUGAAUGUGGAAGUGAAACUGUACAUUCAACCGAGGAAGACGUUGUUGAGUUUUGGAAAGAAUCUAAAGAGGAAAUUGUUGAUGACAUUGAAAUAUCGCCUCCCCAUUUAGAGCAGUGCAAUGACAUACAAGAUAAAAAUAUGCUUGUCAUGGUAACCUGGAUAACAGCUCUUUUGAAAUUUAUGAGACGUUCUUAUGGACUCUCAGAUGCAGCUAUUGGAACCUUAUUGAAGGUUUUGUUUGGGGUAUUGGGAAAAAUAUCACACCCAUGUUCGGUCAUAGCAAAAUGUCUACCACCUUCUCUCUACAUCCACCUUCUCUCCACCUUCUCUCUACAUGUUACAACAAAAAAAUCAAAACAAUUUUGCAGAUAUGUUGUUUGCCAAAAUGUGACUCUGUGUAUAAGUUUGAAGAAUGCAAAGAAGUUUGGAAUGCAAGCAUCUAUACGUACGAUAUCCCAAUCAUCCCCAGGUCAGAAUGAAGCUACUAUACCCCAACGUCACAUAUUGCUAUUUAAGUCUUCAAAAUUCUUUGCAAAAUUUAGAUCCUCAUUCGUAACCGACACUGAGCUUUGGCGUUUAAGAAAAGUUCCUCGUGACACACUGCAAGACGUAUACGACGGAGAUAUCUAGAAAAAGUUUCUUGUGUAUAAUGGUACUUCGUUUUUAUCUAGUCCUCUUUGCUUUGCAUUUACAAUUAAUUUGGACUGGUUUAGACCGUCUAUUGGAGUCAGUUAAAUCAGCUCUGGCUGGUCGACUUCGGCAGUGGGUGUAUGUGUACUAUGUGUACUAUAGUUAUAGUGAGCAUUGUGGGUCCCUGUGUCAGUUAAAUCAGGUCGACUUCGGCAGUGGGUGUGUGUACUAUAGUUAUAGUGAGCAUUGUGGGCAUUGUGGGUCCCUGUGUCAGUUAAAUCAGCUCUGGCUGGUCGACUUCGGCAGUGGGUGUAUGUGUACAAUAUAUAGUUAUAGUGAGCAUUGUGGGUCCCUGUGUCAGUUAAAUCAGCUCUGGCCGGUCGACUUCGGCAGUGGGUGUGUGUACUAUAGUUAUAGUGAGCAUUAUGUGUCCCCGUGUCUAGCUGCAUGGCUAGCAGCGUCCUAAUAAUAAUUAUGUCGUUGACUCGUUUUGUUUAUUGUGUAAGUGAACAGUGCUUAGUUGUUUCUUUUCUACAGUUUGUAAUGGAACCUAUUCAUUGAAUUGUCACACCGGUCGAGACGUCACAAGUCUGCAUGCCUGGAAUAAUUAAUUAUGUUCAUUGUUGACACUUUACAUUACACUAUAAAUGAUAUGUUUUCUCAACAAUUUAAAUUUGCGCUUGCUUCCUGACAGCGCUGAGUCAAGCGCCGCAUACAAUCACGACACAUCAAGUAUAGAUAGAACAACUGCAACUGGUCUGCACCAACUGUAUAUAUUAUAUAUACGCUAUGUGGUAUGUAAAGUAGAUGAAAUAUAGGCGUCUGCACUGCAGUACAGUACAUGUAUAGGCCAUGUGACAUGUCAAGUAGAUUAAAUAUGGAACAACAUGCCAUCUGCAGUGUAGUACAGUACAUGUAUAUAGGCCAUGUGACAUGUAAGUAGAUGAAAUAUAGAACAACAUGCCAUCUGCAGUACGCCAUGUGGCAUGUCAAGUACCGAAAAGCAGCAUUAUACAUAGCAUUUCCAUUACUAUGAAUUCAUGACGAAAUGUCGGAAAUCAGCAGGAAACGACCACCUAUAUGCCAUACACUGAUCCUGUAUUUCAAGAAGUACAGGAAGUACAGGAAAUUCAAUUUUUGGUCCAGUGCAGAUAUUUUAGAUUCAUCAAAUGUACGGACUAUCCCUUGCAAAAUAUGUCACCGCUGAUGAGAUGGCCUUGGCCUGUCUUCUGAUGGCAAAGACGAACCAAACCCAAGUGCGACGCCAAACACCAAGGAGGAUAUUCCAUUGCUAAUGAUGAUAAUAAUAUAAUUAUGUGUGGAAAAUGUGUGGAAAAAAUGUUUUGCUUACAAGUUUUGCUUACAAGUUACUUCGUUUGUACUAUGUACUGUAAACUGUUAUCUGUAGAGUGUACUGUCCAAAUUUUCUUGCAAUGGUGCUCUUUAUAAUGGUGCUCUUUAUUUCAAAAAAUUUACCUGAAAGUUCAAAGGUCAUGAUGCGCUUGAUGGGCUUCAUAAAUUGAUGGGCUUCAUAAAGUGUCUUCUAUCUACUACUGCAGCAAGAUAUGAUUUAUACAUGUACAUGUACUUACGGUAUUGUAACGUCAAAGCUUAUAUUGUUUUUGAUUCUAUCCAUUACUGGUGCCAACUAGGAGCAUAUGAAAAGAAUCUCACAGGUAGGGAGGGAUAGCAGCAUAUAAACAAUUUUAGGAUAUUCUGGGAAGUCCUAGGUGGUUACAUUGAGAUGUCCCUUGAUAUGUCCCUUGAUAUGUCCCUCAGCACUGUGCUCAGUUAAUAUAUACCCACCUGAGCCUGUGAUCAUAUGCAAUGUAGUCUUUUGUAAGUCUUUAAAGUUAAAGCUGCUGUACAACUCAGUGAUCUCUAUGGAUUACUUCAAUCUUAAGUUUCCGUCUUCUCUAGUGUUUGGUCUGAUUUAGAAUUAAUGGUAUACGAGAAUUAAUAUGCAGCAACUUCGAGCAGGCUACUUAUGGUACUUGUGAAUUAAUUGAGCUACUUCACGUAGCGGAGUUGAGGUGUGAUGAAGAGGAUGUGGAGCUGUCUGAGUUGCUUGUGACCCUUUUUAAGGAACGAUACCCUUCUAUAUACAUUGGUUGACCAAGCUGGUGUCACGGUCAUUCUACUACUCUUCCCACCAAUGUUGCCAUCAAUGUAAGUAUAUAGUAUAUAGUAGCAAGAGUAAGAGAGUAGCAAGAGUAAGAGCGAUGAAGAGCAAGGUUAGUAGUAGGUAGCAAUGAAGCAAGUGACAGCUGGAAUGUAGACCGCAAAGUUGCAUGUUGUUGACAGGG
Long non-coding RNA from Halichondria panicea, 3004 nucleotides. RefSeq lists it as uncharacterized. Lineage: Eukaryota; Metazoa; Porifera; Demospongiae; Suberitida; Halichondriidae. The transcript has 3 exons. The record is from RefSeq and is a predicted model, not a curated record.